AUACGGAAGGUCCGGGCGUUAUCCGGAUUUAUUGGGUUUAAAGGGAGCGCAGACGGGCUGUUAAGCGUGACGUGAAAUCCGGGGGCUCAACCUUCGGCUGCGUCGCGAACUGGCGGCCUUGAGUGGACGGUAGGCAGGCGGAAUUCGUGGUGUAGCGGUGAAAUGCUUAGAUAUCACGAAGAACCCCGAUUGCGAAGGCAGCUUGCCGCAGUGUUACUGACGUUCAUGCUCGAAGGUGCGGGUAUCGAACAGGAUUAGAUACCCUGGUAGUCCGCACGGUAAACGAUGGAUGCCCGCUGUUGGCGACACACUGUCAGCGGCCAAGCGAAAGCAUUAAGCAUCCCACCUGGGGAGUACGCCGGCAACGGUGAAACUCAAAUGAAUUGACGGGG
This 392-nucleotide ribosomal RNA is filed under the name uncultured bacterium. RNAcentral describes it as "partial 16S ribosomal RNA". It matches the Rfam family "Bacterial small subunit ribosomal RNA", at positions 523 to 918 of the family's 1533-position model. The record is from RNAcentral.